AUUGAACGCUGGCGGCAUGCUUUACACAUGCAAGUCGAACGGCAGCACGGGGGCAACCCUGGUGGCGAGUGGCGAACGGGUGAGUAACACAUCGGAACGUGUCCAGUUGUGGGGGAUAACCCAUCGAAAGGUGGGCUAAUACCGCAUGAGCUGGCAACAGGAAAGCGGGGGACCCGCAAGGGCCUUGUGCGAUUGGAGCGGCCGAUGUCCGAUUAGCUAGUUGGU
RNAcentral lists this ribosomal RNA (225 nucleotides) under uncultured bacterium. RNAcentral's name for it is "partial 16S ribosomal RNA". It matches the Rfam family "Bacterial small subunit ribosomal RNA", at positions 30 to 253 of the family's 1533-position model. The record is from RNAcentral.